GUCCCACUUUCCAUCUCCUUUUCCUCUACCAUCUUCGUAGGCGGUCCUUCUUUCCUGCCCCUCAAUCCAUGAUCUCCCGGUGGCUCAUUCUAGACCAUUCGCGGCAGCCCCGGCAUCCGCUGCCGCUCCUCACUCCGCGAUUUCACCGUGCGGCGGCACCCGCCGUUUCAUGUAGGAGAAAGCAAAUCAGAGGAGGGAGCCAACGGCGCGUCACCACGCCAAGGUCUUGGCUCCCACGGACCACCACCGGCGUCGAUGCCUUCAGAUCAGGCCAAUCACACGAGUUUCAGGGCGACUCCAUGGCCACGGGCAUGUGGAGCACUAGUGGCCAUCUGCGAGUCCAGUUCAGUCAGGCGGAGCGUGGCGCCCCGUGCUGCCGCUCCAGGACUGCGGCCAACCACAGAAAUCUCUUGCGUUGGUCGCGGAUGGGGGUGAGGGACUUGCUCGCUGCAGCGAAACUCCAGGCUCUGGACGGCUGGACCAUGGCCUGCUCUGGCUUUUCGUCCUCGAAAUCGGUCUGUCGGAGGCCCCAAGAACCCGAUUAAACACAUGCACCCGGUCAUGGCAGAUGCGGUUAUCACCGACGUGCUAGCGGCAGCCUUCCUCUAGGGCGCCGGUGAAAUAGCGCUCGCCCCUGCGCGGAGAUGAGGUGGAUGGGGAAGUGGAGGAGGGCGUCUUUGGCAUCCGCUUCCCUGCAGCGUGGGCAGCCGUCGUUACCUAGCAGUCCUUCCGGACGACGACAGCGGCGGCGAUGCAACAUAUGGUGUAGUGGUGCGUCCUGCCGUCCUGGCAUGGCGGAGGCUGGGCGGUGUACCCGGCAUCGAGGGCGAAGACCCGGGGCGGGCCACGGUCCAGGCGCUUGUGGUACGGCAUACGGCUCGGCGCAGACCGCCUGCUCGAUCCCCUCCUUGUCGAAGCCAGCGCAUCGCCGCACAUGGUCUAGCAGCACAUCGAAAGGAACGACAGCGUCGUAUGCGAGGAGGUCUCCAUGCACAGCCACUUUGACGACCUCCGCGCCCUUGGCACGUAGUGCUCUUCGCCCACACCCUCGCUCUUCCAUCUUGAUCCGGGAGCUUCUCAAGUCCCUUGGUUGGUUACACUACUGUUUAGCAGCUUGGAACUGAACUUUACUGGGAUAAUUUCUGAAGGGAGAGGAGAACAACUACUCUCCCAUAUUCUGCCGGUAUGCCUCUGCCCAUAUAUCCAAAUCAGGAAAUCGCUGAGGUGGUGGAAAUUAGUUCCUGUCUUGAUUGUGUUCGGAAAUAGAUAGCUCUGAUUUUCUGGCUAAGCUGGUUUGUGUUUGGUACCUGAUUUUGAGGAAACUUGCAAGUUAUAGGGUUUCAUUACUUCCCUUGAUAUGCACAUCGUUGUAGGUUUGUUGCGGAAUUCUGACUUUUGAUUCUAUCUACUUUUUUUGCUGGUCAAUGUCUGCACUUUUUUUUUGCUAGACAGUUCAUUUCAGCUGGAUUCUGAUCAUGUUACAUGUAAGAGUUAACUUCUGAUAUAUCCUUGAAUUUACUCGAUAAUCCUAAUAACUGAUGCAUUGCUUCCAUUUUCUUCUUCUGUGCAGGUGGAUCUUACACGGUGCAGGCAGCUGCAAGAUGGUGAAUCAACAAUGCCUGAUAUGAAACCGUGCACAUAGUCCCUACGACUAGCCUGCCAUCAAGUUCCCCUGGAUCGACGCAGACAUCAACUUCAGGAGAUGACUGGCUUCAGCAAGGAGGAAUUCGUGCAGGUGCAGCAGCAGCAGGGGCUGGCUUCUUCUAGGGAAACUCCAGGUUCCAGGGCAUCACACUGUACAAGUGUGGCAAGUGGGAGGCUAGAUCAUGGGCAAGAAGUAAUCUUUAUUCGUCAGGGCAAAAUACGUAAAUUUUCUACAGGUAUGAACAUGAGAAGUUAUGCUUAAGAGCUAAGUUGAUUAGUGUGAGUAACAUAACGUACUAGGGCUCCCCUCCAAGAAACAUGUAACAAAUUAGUUAUAUGGUUCAUGUAGUCAUGAAGGCAUGCUAUACGUCAGUGUGGGAGAAAUUCAUAUAAAGUCGAGAGAGCCAGUGUGCUGCUAACGUUACAAAGAGUCCUGGAAUCCUGAAUUUACUUCCCACCGUUUGAAGCGCUGGUCUGAUUAGCAACCAUGUCACCUCCCCCCAGUACAUCUCUUUUCUUGGGUCAAAAAUGAAGCUACAGUCACCAGUUUCCGUUAGCUGGAUAAAAGAAUAUUGGUUAACCAAAUGUUAAGUGAUAUUUUUCCCCCUCUUUUCUGGUCAAAUGAAGUUCUAAGUUAUUAUUUCUUGGGUUGUAUUCAAAACCUGAAGUCAUUUAAAUUUUUUAGGACCACAGUCAAUUAAUUUUCAGGAGUAUAGAUGUAGUCAAGCCUUCCGACAUUAUCGAUGGGAAGCUAAUAUAAUUACCAAGUAGUGGCUUAUUAUACUAUUUCCUUCAGCGAAUUGAUAGUGCCUUUCGAAAUCUGUUCCGUGAACAUUUGUGCAGUUUCCAGUUUUCUUUGAUGUAAACUUGAAAUACUUGGCUAUAAAAAAAUUCAAAGAGCAGUCAGCUCUUUCAAGUGUUCUUGCUGCCUGUCGAGUCAUGGUUAUUACAGUCUUUAUGUAUCUUAGGCUGUUCUAUUUUCUUAUUUACUAUUGCAUUUACUCAAAAUGAACACUACCAUUCGAAAAUAAGCCUACAGCGUUGCCCUGGUUCACCGAAUCCAUUUUUUCUUUUUUGGUUUAUUAUUCGAAAUGAUAUCAACCAUUUGGAACUGAACCUACAAUUUUUAUCUGGUUUAAGGAAUCCAUUUUCUCUCUGGUUUAUUUUUUCAUAAUGAUCUCAUCCAUUCGGAACUGAGCCUGUAAUUUUGCUCUGGUUCAAGGAAUACAAUUUUUUUUUCCUUUUUGAGUAAUUGACUUAGCUAGCUAUUUUGGACAAUACAGGGUGGUCAGAUGUGUUUGGGUUUCCUCUUUUUGGUGUUCCACACUUCCAUUGAGGAAAGUUUUAGAACUGGCCUACUAUUUUUUUCUGCAGCACACUUUUUUUUUGGUUAAUGUGCAAUCUAAGCUUUAGUAAUUAGGCGCAGCUUCUGGAGGACACUAGAAGAGGAUAGGGGAGGAAUGUUUGUGUUUUUUCUAAUUUCAGAUCUAUUGUUAGUCUUCCGUUCCCUUCAAAAACAUUGUGCUUUGUUUUCCCUUAUGAUAUAUCUUUUGUGCAGUUUAAUGCUGGAUUGGCGGUUGUGCCGCGCUUCAUCCUUAUUGUUAGUCUUCCGUUCCCUUCACAAAAAUUGUGCUUUGUUUUCCCUUAUGAUAUAUCUUUUGUGCAAUUUAAUGCUGGAUUGACGGUUGUGCCGCGCUUCAUCCUUCCACCGUUGAAGAACUGGCCACGAAACAAUCAGCAGCUGCAGCUCAGUCAAGCGCAAAGGGAAAACAAGUCUGGGCAGGACUCUGAGGGUCCCUUGCAUAGAGAGGCACUAAGAGCUAUAGGCCUUGGUCGAAGUGAAGGAAUUCGGCGCAUAAACAUAUGUUCUUAGCGGUUCACAGUAGGUGACACAUUGAUCCAUCUAAGAAGUAUAAAUGUUGAUCAGCAAGUGGUUAUCACAUUGCUACAGAAGAACACAGUGGGCCAAACAAGGAGCUCAUCAUCCUCUUCUCUGACGAUGAAGAACAGGAUGCCCAAGACCAACAACUCGAAGACAUGGGAACCAUCUCUGGUGAACAUUUGCCCAUCAUAGUGUGCUACUUUACCUGCUAAGAUUUUGCUUGCCAUGAAAAUGAUUGUCUACAGAUCGAGUGGAAUCUAUGGUCUGAUGUAAGACAAUUGUACGAACUAUGUAAGACAAUUGUACGAACUAUGUAAUUGAAACCAAAUUCAAAACUAAUGUUGUUUUAAAUA
This is a long non-coding RNA of Lolium perenne, 3879 nucleotides long. RefSeq lists it as uncharacterized. NCBI's taxonomy places the organism in Eukaryota, Viridiplantae, Streptophyta, Magnoliopsida, Poales, Poaceae. The record is from RefSeq and is a predicted model, not a curated record.